Mycena leptocephala is the source of this 93-nucleotide non-coding RNA. Lineage: Eukaryota; Fungi; Basidiomycota; Agaricomycetes; Agaricales; Mycenaceae. The record is from the annotation of a GenBank genome assembly.
UGCCCGGUAGCACAGUGGUAGUGCAUCUGCUUGACAUAACUAGAUGAGCUUCGUUCAUGCAGAAGGUUCCCCGUUCGAUUCGGGGUCGGGCGA